CAGUCAAGGAUUCAUGCGUCUGAUCAGUCUGUUUGAGCAAAUGCCAUAGAAUUUAGAAGGAGAAAACCCACAGUCAUGGUGUGUGCUUAGGGGUCCCAUUCCAUCGAAAUCUGUGAAUGGACUUUUGAAAUUGCUAACUGCAGAGAACUGCAUCUCGAGCUCAACUAGGGAUGGCAAAGCAAGUCCCCUGCAGAGCAGAAGCGAUCCGCAUCUUGUGGCACUUGGGACUGAACUCUUUCUCUUUUCUAGGACAUCAAAAGCACCUGGAGCAGGUGUGAGAAGGUGAAGUUCGAGAAACCAAUGGCUGUGUCACAGGAUGUGAGCGAGAGAAUUGGCGUCUCUUCCCAAAGAAAUGUUUGUCUACAGGAGGCUCUGAAGAAAUUCAGAGAGACCCUGCCCUAUCAACUGAACUUUCUGAUCUCCAAGGCAGAGAAAGAGGAGUGAACACUGGCAUUUUUGUCUGUUUGAAUAAUCAAAGUGGUGCUUUCCGUGCCUUCUUGGCUGCAAAGAUUUGAACUGCUUCCUGCUGGAGGUCCACCGUCUGGGCCAGCUCAUGCUCUGUUGAGAUGGUUGCAAGGCCGACCAGCCUAU
Caretta caretta (loggerhead turtle) is the source of this 591-nucleotide non-coding RNA. Lineage: Eukaryota; Metazoa; Chordata; Testudines; Cheloniidae. The record is from RefSeq and is a predicted model, not a curated record.